AAUCCAUCAAUUAAUUAUUAGCACAGAUUUAUUAUGAACUAUUUUAAAUGGGAAAUAAGCCACAAUUUUACCAAAAAAAUGAAUUUAUUAACGUUUCGACGCCCAAGUCGGGUGUUGUUGUCAAAAUACGACACCCGACUUGGGCGUCGAAACGUUAAUAAAU
Small nucleolar RNA from Diabrotica virgifera virgifera (western corn rootworm), 163 nucleotides. RefSeq annotates it as small nucleolar RNA snR34. The record is from RefSeq and is a predicted model, not a curated record. The transcript has a single exon. NCBI's taxonomy places the organism in Eukaryota, Metazoa, Arthropoda, Insecta, Coleoptera, Chrysomelidae.